Molecule: long non-coding RNA, 2499 nt
Organism: Apis cerana (Asiatic honeybee)
Lineage: Eukaryota; Metazoa; Arthropoda; Insecta; Hymenoptera; Apidae
Source: RefSeq, a predicted model, not a curated record
GGUACCUGUAAUUAUAUAAUUCAAUACAAUUUGAUUGAUCAAUUUUUGAGAGAGAAACAAUACAUGAAAAAGAAAAAUGUGAUUUAAAAUUGAAAUUAAAAAAUUCACGUAAGUUAUCGUUGGUUUUAAAAGUCUUGGAAUAUUUAUGAAUUGCAGCAGAUAAUAUAGAAAGUCUUGAAAGAUAGAAGAAGUCUGAUGAGAUAAUAACUGUUAAGUAAGAUUCUUAACAGUUCCAGAUAUUCUAGUCAAUUUUGAAUAUCCGGAGAAACUUUAACAAGUUUUGAUUUCCUCGUUGGUUCCUUGUUGGUUUUAUUUAAUAAAACGUGGAAAUCUCAUUACUUCUGUUAAAAGUUUCAAAUUAUUUUUCCAAAAAUUUAAUUUGUACCAAGUUUUUUUAUUAAUUUAAAAUUAAUAUCAAGAAUGCUGGUUAAUGGAUUUCACAUUAAUGAUUUCAAACUUUUUGCUAUUUUACACGUAGUAAUUUUCACCUCUUCGAUUGCACGAUGCAGUUUCAAAAAUUUUUCACCCACGGAAACGAAGAUAGAUUGCCAAAGGAAUAUAUAUUAUAUUGACAUUCGUACGUGACAAUGCCAGUAUCGAUUCUCAUUUGAAUACCAUUGCUUUGCUCAUAACAUUCCUGUAAAUUCUGCCUAACACGCGAGUUCAUUAUCGAUCGAAUAUGCAAACGUAUCCGGUUUGCGUGAUAUGUGUGUCGUUACAUGUUUAAUCUCGAGCAUUAGCUAUUAUUUUGGAAAAGAUGAAAUUUGGUCAGAUAUCUGGUGACAGGAUUUCAAUGUCCUGAAAUACAAUUGCAGAUUUUUGAAUCAAAGGUUUGGUGUAUUAAAAUUAUUAAAACGUUUUUUUUUCAAUUCAUAUAUAUUUAUUUACAAGGAAUGAACAAUUGUUCUUCAAGUUUGUUUAACAAUAAUAAUAACGAGCACUUAAACUGGCUUACAUUCUCUGAAAAUCAAGAGAAGAAAGAAAAAAAAAGAAAGAAAAGAAGAUGGAUGUCACGAAAAAUAAAUCUUACUACUAUUUCUUUUUCGUUUAUUCCAUGUUUGGAAUUUUUCCUCCUUCUAUAAAUCAUUCGAGUUAUCACAGAUUUCUUGGUUUUCCGUCGUUGGUUUCUGCUUCCUGUUUCUUUUUCUUUUGAUUUUUUUUACUUUUUGUCCUUUUCGAUUCAACUAGAUUCUAUUGAAUACAAGAUGAAAAGUAUCGAUUCGCAAUUCUUUUUAUUACAUAUUCAAUAUUAUUGAUCAUUCAAAUUUCAAAAACAAGAAUUUCACUGUAAUUGAAAUAUGAAUUUUAUUUGCAUAAUUGUGGCGCGUUGUGAAAUUCCUGUAUCAUAUGAUUUCUUCCAUGUAUCGAGUGAAAUUUAUCGAGGAUCCAUAUUCAUUCAUAUUUCCUUUUAUCUUUCAUAUUUGUUGACACAAAAGCUGGAUAGUUUGAUCAAUUUCCAAAGCGAGUGGUCAAAGAGGAUUAUUAAAUCGAUCGAGAAUUACUAAUAUCGUCAUUUAUUUUGUAAAGGUUCAUUAUUAAACUGAUCGAGAAUUACUAAUAUCAUCAUUUAUCUUGUAAAAGCUUGUGAAUAAUCUAUGAGCCUUUCUCUACAAAUAGUUAAUGAUGGAGUAUCGAAUAACCGUAUUGAACUAAAUAAAUGCUAUAAAUUUAUUAUACAAUAUUUUUCAUAUAAAUAAUUUUGAUUAAAAAUAAUCGAGAUUUAUUUAUUGAAAAAUUUUAAAUAAGAAAAUUCCAGAUAAAAGAUUGAUAAAAGAUCUAGAUAAAAGUAGAAUAAUUAAUACAUACUCAUGGCCAUCUUGUUAUGAUUGAGAAUACAAGAUCCACAAUCCAUCAAUGAUUCACAUUCAUAUAUUCGAUUAUAAAAGGAUAGGAACAAUAAAAUAAAUUAUACAAAAGAUCGAAUACAGUCAUAAAGGAAUACAGGAAUACAGUCAUAAAUGUUGAGAAAGAGAUACGCAAGAAAGAGAUACGCAUUAAACCACAUUUUAAACUCUUGCAUCAUUGGAGUAAUAAAAUGAUUGCAAUAAAAUGUUAUUAAGUUAAUGCUUCGAAAUGAAUCACGAGAAAUUGUGUAAUGGAUGCAGCAACAACAUAUUGUAAUAUCGCAAUGAACGCUUUGACGAUGGAAUCACAGUCUACGGGCGAUCGAAUACCGAUAUCGAAUAAUUAAAGGAUAGUUUGCGACUAGUCAAAUCGAGACUGAUUGCAAUUAAACGAUUGCAUUACUAAUAAGAUGAAAGAGCGACUUUUGAAUGAUGCGAUUAUAUGUUGUUUUUAAUUGGAAAAAUAAAUAUAUAUAUACAUAGUCGUGCGACAAAAUGUUGUUCGCAUCGAGAUUUAAAUUGCAUUAAAUCAAUUAAGUUGGUGGAUUGCAAUACGAUAAAAAUUGUAAUUUAUAUUUGAUAUGAAGAAAAUAUAUGAUUCGAGAUUGAAAAUUGAUUGAAAAUUAAUUAUUUCAAUAAAUAAUGUAUCCAAAAA